UACGGAGGGUGCAAGCGUUAUCCGGAAUCACUGGGUUUAAAGGGUGCGUAGGCGGGUAGAUAAGUCAGAGGUGAAAUCCUUCCGCUUAACGGGAGAAUUGCCUUUGAUACUGUUUAUCUUGAAUGAGGUUGAGGUUAGCGGAAUGUGACAUGUAGCGGUGAAAUGCAUAGAUAUGUCAUAGAACACCAAUUGCGUAGGCAGCUAACUAGGCCUUUAUUGACGCUGAGGCACGAAAGCAUGGGGAGCGAACAGG
Molecule: ribosomal RNA, 253 nt
Filed under: uncultured bacterium
Lineage: Bacteria
Description: partial 16S ribosomal RNA
Rfam family: Bacterial small subunit ribosomal RNA
Source: RNAcentral